GUCGCUACUACCGAUUGAAUGAUUUAGUGAGCUGCGGGGACUGCCGCCUCUGAUCGGGCAACCUUUCUUUGGUGAUGGGAACCGCUACAAACUUGACCAUUUAGAGGAAGUAA
RNAcentral lists this ribosomal RNA (113 nucleotides) under uncultured eukaryote. RNAcentral describes it as "partial small subunit ribosomal RNA". The record is from RNAcentral.